UACGUAGGGUGCAAGCGUUGUCCGGAAUCAUUGGGCGUAAAGCGCGCGUAGGUGGCUUCGUAAGUCCGUUGUGAAAGUCAAAGGCUCAACCUUUGAAAGCCGAUGGAUACUGCGGAGCUAGAGUACGGAAGAGGCGAGUGGAAUUCCUGGUGUAGCGGUGGAAUGCGCAGAUAUCAGGAGGAACACCAAUAGCGAAGGCAGCUCACUGGGACGUUACUGACACUAAGGCGCGAAAGCGUGGGGAGCGAACAGG
Molecule: ribosomal RNA, 253 nt
Filed under: uncultured bacterium
Lineage: Bacteria
Description: partial 16S ribosomal RNA
Rfam family: Bacterial small subunit ribosomal RNA
Source: RNAcentral